Molecule: long non-coding RNA, 204 nt
Filed under: Vigna radiata
Lineage: Eukaryota; Viridiplantae; Streptophyta; Magnoliopsida; Fabales; Fabaceae
Description: long non-coding RNA (VRAD_LNC012465)
Source: RNAcentral
UAACAGGUCGGGUUCGAGUAUCACACUAUCCGUAUCCACGAGUAUCUGCUUACUGUUUGAAAAAAUGAAAUUACAAUUUUACCAAUUAGAUUCUUUUUUUCUAACUGUUCAAUCUUCUUUAAAAGUGGGCCAAAGCCCAAAAUCCUUUUUAGGGUUUUCUUCUUCAAAUCAGAAUAAGGAAAAAGGAUCUACCUCAUUCCUUCC